CCUACGGGCGGCUGCAGUGGGGAAUAUUGGACAAUGGGCGAAAGCCUGAUCCAGCCAUGCCGCGUGUGUGAAGAAGGCCUUCGGGUUGUAAAGCACUUUCAGUGGGGAAGAAAGCCUUGGGGCUAAUACCCUCGAGGAAGGACAUCACCCACAGAAGAAGCACCGGCUAACUCCGUGCCAGCAGCCGCGGUAAUACGGAGGGUGCGAGCGUUAAUCGGAAUUACUGGGCGUAAAGCGCGCGUAGGCGGUCUGAUAAGCCGGUUGUGAAAGCCCCGGGCUCAACCUGGGAACGGCAUCCGGAACUGUCAGGCUAGAGUGCAGGAGAGGAAGGUAGAAUUCCCGGUGUAGCGGUGAAAUGCGUAGAGAUCGGGAGGAAUACCAGUGGCGAAGGCGGUCUUCUGGACUGACACUGACGCUGAGGUGCGAAAGCGUGGGUAGCAAACAGGAUUAGAUACCCUGGUAGUC
Molecule: ribosomal RNA, 465 nt
Filed under: Vreelandella stevensii
Lineage: Bacteria; Pseudomonadati; Pseudomonadota; Gammaproteobacteria; Oceanospirillales; Halomonadaceae
Description: partial 16S ribosomal RNA
Rfam family: Bacterial small subunit ribosomal RNA
Source: RNAcentral